This 450-nucleotide ribosomal RNA is filed under the name uncultured bacterium. RNAcentral describes it as "bacterial SSU rRNA". It matches the Rfam family "Bacterial small subunit ribosomal RNA", at positions 329 to 793 of the family's 1533-position model. The record is from RNAcentral.
UACCAGACUCCUACGGGAGGCAGCAGUGGGGAAUAUUGCACAAUGGGGGGAACCCUGAUGCAGCAAUGCCGCGUGAAGGAUGAAGGUUUUCGGAUUGUAAACUUCUUUUGUACGGGACGAAGAAAGUGACGGUACCUGUUUAGAAAGCUCCGGCUAACUACGUGCCAGCAGCCGCGGUAAUACGUAGGGAGCAAGCGUUGUCCGGAAUUACUGGGCGUAAAGGGCGCGUAGGUGGGCGCUUAAGUCAGGUGUGAAAACUCCGGGCUCAACCUGGAGACUGCACUUGAAACUGGGUGUCUUGAGGGCAGGAGAGGAAAGUGGAAUUCCUAGUGUAGCGGUGAAAUGCGUAGAUAUUAGGAGGAACGCCAGUGGCGAAGGCGACUUUCUGGACUGUACCUGACGCUGAGGCGCGAAAGCGUGGGUAGCGAACGGGAUUAGAUACCCGAGUAC